GACGAACGCUGGCGGCGUGCUUAACACAUGCAAGUCGGACGGAAAGGCCCUGCUUUUGUGGGGUGCUCGAGUGGCGAACGGGUGAGUAACACGUGAGUAACCUGCCCUUGACUUUGGGAUAACUUCAGGAAACUGGGGCUAAUACCGGAUAGGAGCUCCUGCUGCAUGGUGGGGGUUGGAAAGUUUCGGCGGUUGGGGAUGGACUCGCGGCUUAUCAGCUUGUUGGUGGGGUAGUGGCUUACCAAGGCUUUGACGGGUAGCCGGCCUGAGAGGGUGACCGGCUACAUUGGGACUGAGAUACGGCCCAGACUCCUACGGGAGGCAGCAGUGGGGAAUAUUGCACAAUGGGCGGAAGCCUGAUGCAGCAACGCCGCGUGCGGGAUGACGGCCUUCGGGUUGUAAACCGCUUUCGCCUGUGACGAAGCGUGAGUGACGGUAAUGGGUAAAGAAGCACCGGCUAACUACGUG
RNAcentral lists this ribosomal RNA (468 nucleotides) under uncultured bacterium. RNAcentral's name for it is "partial 16S ribosomal RNA". It matches the Rfam family "Bacterial small subunit ribosomal RNA", at positions 28 to 507 of the family's 1533-position model. The record is from RNAcentral.